This 126-nucleotide ribosomal RNA is filed under the name Photorhabdus luminescens. RNAcentral's name for it is "partial 23S ribosomal RNA". The stretch from base 1 to 106 matches the Rfam family "Bacterial large subunit ribosomal RNA", at positions 2820 to 2925 of the family's 2925-position model. Lineage: Bacteria; Pseudomonadati; Pseudomonadota; Gammaproteobacteria; Enterobacterales; Morganellaceae. RNAcentral also lists the same sequence under 1 other name. The record is from RNAcentral.
AGAGUCACGGAAGGAACGUUUAAGACGAAGACGUGGAUAGGCUGGGUGUGUAAGCGCAGCGAUGCGUUGAGCUGACCAGUACUAAUGAACCGAGCGGCUUAACCUUACAACGCCGAAGGGGUUUUG